This 508-nucleotide ribosomal RNA is filed under the name uncultured Sphingobacteriales bacterium. Its description in RNAcentral is "bacterial SSU rRNA". It matches the Rfam family "Bacterial small subunit ribosomal RNA", at positions 903 to 1382 of the family's 1533-position model. The record is from RNAcentral. Lineage: Bacteria; Pseudomonadati; Bacteroidota; Sphingobacteriia; Sphingobacteriales.
UGCGCCUUGCCACGCCCGCUCAGAAACUCAAAGGAAUUGACGGGGGCCCGCACAAGCGGAGGAGCAUGUGGUUUAAUUCGAUGAUACGCGAGGAACCUUACCUGGGCUCGAACGUAAGAUGACUGUAGGUGAAAGCUUACAUCUCUUCGGAGCAUUUUACGAGGUGCUGCAUGGUUGUCGUCAGCUCGUGCCGUGAGGUGUCGGGUUAAGUCCCAUAACGAGCGCAACCCCUACCUUUAGUUGCCAUCAGGUAAUGCUGGGGACUCUAAAGGAACUGCCUACGCAAGUAGUGAGGAAGGCGGGGAUGACGUCAAAUCAGCACGGCCCUUACGUCCAGGGCUACACACGUGCUACAAUGGUCGGUACAAAGGGUUGCCAAGCCGCGAGGUGGAGCUAAUCCCAUAAAACCGAUCGUAGUCCGGAUCGCAGUCUGCAACUCGACUGCGUGAAGUCGGAAUCGCUAGUAAUCGUGAAUCAGAAUGUCACGGUGAAUACGUUCCCGGGCCUU